GCUUGCUGGGUAUGAAAGUGGCGCACGGGUGCGUAACGCGUAUGCAACCUACCUCAAUCAGGGGGAUAGCCCGAAGAAAUUCGGAUUAACACCGCAUAAAAACACAGUACAGCAUUGUACAAUGUUCAAAUAUUUAUAGGAUUGAGAUGGGCAUGCGUGUCAUUAGCUAGUUGGCGGGGUAACGGCCCACCAAGGCGACGAUGACUAGGGGAUCUGAGAGGAUGACCCCCCACACUGGUACUGAGACACGGACCAGACUCCUACGGGAGGCAGCAGUAAGGAAUAUUGGUCAAUGGAGGGAACUCUGAACCAGCCAUGCCGCGUGCAGGAAGACAGCCCUCUGGGUCGUAAACUGCUUUUAUUCGGGAAUAAACCUACUUACGUGUAAGUAGCUGAAUGUACCGAAGGAAUAAGGAUCGGCUAACUCCGUGCCAGCAGCCGCGGUAAUACGGAGGAUCCAAGCGUUAUCCGGAUUUAUUGGGUUUAAAGGGUGCGUAGGCGGCUUAUUAAGUCAGGGGUGAAAGACGGUGGCUCAACCAUCGCAGUGCCCUUGAUACUGAUGAGCUUGAAUGAACUAGAGGUAGGCGGAAUGUGACAAGUAGCGGUGAAAUGCAUAGAUAUGUCACAGAACACCGAUUGCGAAGGCAGCUUACUAUGGUUUUAUUGACGCUGAGGCACGAAAGCGUGGGGAUCAAACAGGA
RNAcentral lists this ribosomal RNA (701 nucleotides) under Pedobacter sp. Z4_190_2. Its description in RNAcentral is "bacterial SSU rRNA". It matches the Rfam family "Bacterial small subunit ribosomal RNA", at positions 78 to 777 of the family's 1533-position model. The record is from RNAcentral. Lineage: Bacteria; Pseudomonadati; Bacteroidota; Sphingobacteriia; Sphingobacteriales; Sphingobacteriaceae.